GAACCUUUCAUGUAAGAAAAGUCUGAGUGGUAGCAUAAAUUAUUAUAAAUUAUUAUUUUAUGAGUGGUGCUAAAACUUCUUAUCAUUUGUUAUUGGUGAACCAAGAGACAGGGUUUGACAUUGUGCUAAGCUAUAGUCAUAUAUAAUUAUUUAUGCUCUCUUCUAGUAUGCUAGAAUAUUAUAAUUAAUACCUUGCUAUAUAUUAUGCCGC
This 211-nucleotide long non-coding RNA is filed under the name Elaeis guineensis (African oil palm). RNAcentral describes it as "long non-coding RNA (EGUI_LNC017946)". Lineage: Eukaryota; Viridiplantae; Streptophyta; Magnoliopsida; Arecales; Arecaceae. The record is from RNAcentral.